Molecule: ribosomal RNA, 503 nt
Filed under: uncultured bacterium
Lineage: Bacteria
Description: partial 16S ribosomal RNA
Rfam family: Bacterial small subunit ribosomal RNA
Source: RNAcentral
AUUGAACGCUGGCGGCAGGCUUAACACAUGCAAGUCGAGCGGGGUGAUGGUGCUUGCACUAUCACUUAGCGGCGGACGGGUGAGUAAUGCUUAGGAAUCUGCCUAUUAGUGGGGGACAACAUCUCGAAAGGGAUGCUAAUACCGCAUACGUCCUACGGGAGAAAGCAGGGGAUCACUUGUGACCUUGCGCUAAUAGAUGAGCCUAAGUCGGAUUAGCUAGUUGGUGGGGUAAAGGCCUACCAAGGCGACGAUCUGUAGCGGGUCUGAGAGGAUGAUCCGCGACAAUGGGACUGAGACACGGCCCAGACUCCUACGGGAGGCAGCAGUGGGGAAUAUGGGACAAUGGAGGGAACCCUGAUCCAGCCAUGCCGCGUGUGUGAAGAAGGCCUUAUGGUUGUAAAGCACUUUAAGCGAGGAGGAGGCUACUCUAGUUAAUACCUAGGGAUAGUGGACGUUACUCGCAGAAUAAGCACCGGCUAACUCUGUGCCAGCCGCCGCCGUAA